Molecule: ribosomal RNA, 468 nt
Filed under: uncultured bacterium
Lineage: Bacteria
Description: partial 16S ribosomal RNA
Rfam family: Bacterial small subunit ribosomal RNA
Source: RNAcentral
GACGAACGCUGGCGGCGUGCUUAACACAUGCAAGUCGAACGGAAAGGCCUUGCUUGCGUGGGGUGCUCGAGGGGCGCAGGGGUGAGUAACACGUGUGUAACCUGCCCUACACUUGGGUAUACCUUCAGGAAACUGGGUCUAAUACGGUAUGAGAGCUCCUGCUGCGUGGUGGUGGUGGGAAAGUUUCGGUGGUUGGGGAUGGUCUCGCGGCCUAUCAGCUUGUUGGUGGGGUGGUGGCUCACCAAGGCGGUGACGGGUAGCCGGCCUGAGAGGGUGACCGGCCACAUUGGGACUGAGACACGGCCCAGACUCCUACGGGAGGCAGCAGUGGGGAAUAUUGCACAAUGGGCGGAAGCCUGAUGCAGCAACGCCGCGUGCGGGAUGACGGCCUUCGGGUUGUAAACCGCUUCCGCCUGUGACGAAGAGUGAGUGACGGUACUGGCUAAGGAAGCACCGGCUAACUACGUG